Molecule: long non-coding RNA, 1906 nt
Organism: Marmota monax (woodchuck)
Lineage: Eukaryota; Metazoa; Chordata; Mammalia; Rodentia; Sciuridae
Exons: 4
Source: RefSeq, a predicted model, not a curated record
UUUUGUUAAUCCUCCCUCUGUUAUAGGGAGUUCCAGCCAAGAACUCAGAAGGGUAGAGGACACGACUGUUUUCUUCCCCUACACUUCAAAAGUAUGUUCUUGGUGUGCAUGUGUAUGUGGUACUGGGGAUGGAACCCAGGGCCUUACACUCAGCUACAUCCCCAGCCCUCCCUGAGAAACUUAAAAAUAAGUGUCAUUUAUUUCUGAAACAUCCAGUUGAGUCAGAGCUUCCAGUCCCUUUGACAAGUGCACAAAAACUAUUUCUGAUGAUGAGGGAAGCCGUGAUGUGAAUCUUCUAGAAUGGCAGCCAAUUUAAAAUGCACUUAUGUUUGGUUUUAUGAUAUGCUUUUGGUAUUUACACUUGAAGAUGAAUUUGAGGGAUGAUCUGGUUAUGAAUUCAUAAUCUCAAGAAACAGACUAAAGCCACCCUGAGAACCUGACUGGGCAGGAAUAGAAAGUUGUCCAAGAUUAUAAAGAAUCUUUUUCCAUUUCAGACACUCUCAGGGGACUAAUAUAUAGCACCAGACUAAAUGGAACACAGACGGUAUUUGCAGGAAACUGAAUGGGACAGGAAAAUAUACCAGAAGCAUAUGUCUGUAAGAACCUUAUAUGAAGAUCUGCCUAGGAUAUACUGUCAAAUCCAAAUAACUCCAUAAGUGAUUAACUUAUCUACACACAGAGGAGAGCAGGAAUCUGGCCCAAAGCUUAAGGUUCGCUGCCCACGUUGAUGUGUCCUGCCGGUCUGAUGUGUCCUGCCGGUCGGGAUAUUUGGCGCCCAACGUUGUGUGCUCGAGCCUUUGACUGAGAAGGAAUGCCGUCCUCCGGGAAGACUUGGCCAAGCGGAGCUUGAGAUCGCCUCGGCAGACAUGACCGAGAGACAGAUCCAGGAGGAGAGUGGGGAUGACUCACGAUGCAGCCAACAAUCUGUGUGAGGACCCUGCAUUAUAAACAGGCUGGUACAAUUUAUUAAAGAACAGAUUAAUAUUUUGGCCUCUAAGCCCAUAUAGGUCCACUAUCACCAUCUGGAGAUGGAAGACCGCGCUGCCAACAUUUAAAAGGAUGUUCUACCCUUCUCACAGGCUUAUUUAUUAAGUUUACAUCCCCACAGAUCUCUCUUUCUUAUAUAAAAGUAUAAGUAACAGCUCUGACCAACCAUCUUCUGCCCUUGCCAUAAGGGUUCGCUCCUCCAUGGGCCCCUCUGCUUGGGGGAGGACACACCCAUGGAGUGAGGACAGCACCCAUGGAGUGAGGACGUUAGGCCAUAAUAACGGAGGGUGCAGGAAGGACUGCAGGAGGACGGAUCCCAAAACCCAAGACCUCUGAGUGACACGCUCUGGUGCAUGGCGGUUGGCAUGCUUCCCCCUCAAAGCCGUCUCCUCCAAAAACAUGCCAAGGCCACCACGAAAUCUCCUAGUGAAGACGCGGAUCAGGAGAUAUUCUAAGGCCUCCUAGAGGAACAGAGCCUCUAUCACCCCCUAAAAACAUGGCCGGUAAGGUAUGGUCAAAUAUUUUAUAUAAGAAAGGCGGAAAUGUCAGGGGCUAGAAGGAAAUUCUCCUUCAAAGAAUAGCCUGACAGCCCCCUGGGAGACAUCCUGCAGCUACCUAUCUCCCUGGAACAUCCUGCGGUUAUCAGGAUCAGACAUCCUGGAGCUGGCAGUUUUACCACCCACAUCCAGCAACUGCUGAUUAGAGAGCUUCCCCAUCCCCAGCAUAUAAAUACCCCUGUGUGAACAAUAAAAGUUUGCAUGCUUGAUCAGAAUUCCUGUCUUGCUGUCAUCCUUCAUGUCUCUUGUCCCUUCAUUCCUCCCCAUCUAGGUUCGCUGCCCAUGUUGUUGAUGUGUCCUGCCGGUCGGGACAAAGCUGACUAAUACACCUAAGUUCUACCCACCCCUUUGGUUGCUGUGUG